CGCGAAUGAAAAAACCACAAAAAAUCUCCCAAUUCUCGCAACCCCAAGCCGGCCAGCCCCCACGAUCUCGAAUCCCGAUGCUCUCAGCAUCUAUCAACUCCCGAGCGGUCGUCACCAGCGCAUGAGCUUUCUCCGCUCGCUGGCGAACUCCUUCUCCUCGCUGCUCUUCUCGUCGGGGGGCGAGACGGCGCCCAUGGACGCGGCGGGGUCGGCGCCGUCGCCGGCGGCGGUGGUGAGGGAGCGCGUGGCGGUGAAGCUCCGGGGCUACUUCGACCUCGCCAAGGAGGAGAUGGACAAGGCCGUGCGCGCCGAGGAGUGGGGGCUCCCCGACGACGCCACCGCGCACUACCGCAACGCGAUGCGCGUCAUGCUCGAGGCCCAGGCCGCGCGCGUCCCUGAUGCCGUCUCCUCCAGAGGCUUGCAGCGAGAGGGGGCAGGUCAGGGUGUACCAGGAGAAGAUCGCCAAGUGGCAGGCGCAGGUCGAGGAGCGGCUCAGAGUGCUUGGUCAGAGAAGUGCUGAAGGUGCCACUGCUGCAGUAGUGCCUAAGAAGGUUGUCAUGGUGCAAUGGUCUACUUGUUAGGCUAUGUUGAGGAGCUACUAAUAAACCUCAAGAGUUGGAUGAUGCUGUUCUUCGAAGACUGGUGAAAAGAAUAUAUGUGCCACUACCUGAUCCAAACGUACGGAGGCUACUUCUGAAAAAUCAGCUCAAAGGACAAGCAUUCAAAUUGUCGACCAACCUGGAACUGAUCCCUGGCAGACCAUGAUUUCGAAAGAUUAGUUGUGGAGACCGAAGGGUAUUCUGGAAGUGACCUGAGAGCCGUGUGCGAAGAAGCUGCAAUGAUGCCAAUAAGAGAGCUCGGGCCACAGAGUAUUCUUGCUAUUAAAGCAAAUCAGUUGCGACCUUUGAAGUACGAGGAUUUCAAGAACGCGAUGGCGGUGAUCAGGCCAAGCUUGCAGAAGAGCAAAUGGGACGAGCUUGAGAAAUGGAACGAGGAAUUUGGUUCGAGCUGACGGCGGCUCGCACUGCCUGUGCCUGAUGAUGAUCAAGCGGUCCUAUUUCCAUCUGUAUAUAUGAUUUAUGUCUCCCACGCUGUGGCUCACAACACAAGGGGUCACACCAUGCGCCCAUUGAUGCGUCCUCGUUGGGCUAGGCAGCACAACAUCGACAGAAGCAGAAUGUAAAGGUAUACUUCUGGCAACGGCCUAUACAGCCAUUGAGGGCUAGUUUGAAACACCGUUCAAGGGAUUUUCAUUUUUCAAAGGGAAAUUAGCUCAUUUUCCCUUGUAAAAAUGAAAUUUUUUUAGGAAAAUGGUGUUCCCAAACUAGCCCUAAGUAUUGCUGUUGCCCAAGUUAAACAAAAAAACGUGUCUAUUAUUGGGCUCU
Molecule: RNA transcript, 1385 nt
Organism: Zea mays
Lineage: Eukaryota; Viridiplantae; Streptophyta; Magnoliopsida; Poales; Poaceae
Gene name: AAA protease pseudogene
Exons: 9
Source: RefSeq, marked validated